GAGUGAACACGGCUCUUCAAGAUUUUUUUCUAACAGGAUUUCUGACCUUGGUCGGAAAUCCCAA
Molecule: small nuclear RNA, 64 nt
Organism: Mastomys coucha (southern multimammate mouse)
Lineage: Eukaryota; Metazoa; Chordata; Mammalia; Rodentia; Muridae
Product: U7 small nuclear RNA
Exons: 1
Source: RefSeq, a predicted model, not a curated record